This 72-nucleotide transfer RNA is filed under the name Camelus bactrianus (Bactrian camel). It matches the Rfam family "tRNA". Rfam says of the family: Transfer RNA (tRNA) molecules are approximately 80 nucleotides in length. Their secondary structure includes four short double-helical elements and three loops (D, anti-codon, and T loops). The record is from Rfam by way of RNAcentral. RNAcentral also lists the same sequence under 2 other names. Lineage: Eukaryota; Metazoa; Chordata; Mammalia; Artiodactyla; Camelidae.
GAAGGUAUACCUCAGUGGUGGAGUACAAGCUUAACAUGCAUGAGAUCCUGGGUUUAAUCCCUAGUACCUCUA